This 2058-nucleotide long non-coding RNA is filed under the name Daucus carota (carrot). Its description in RNAcentral is "long non-coding RNA (DCAR_LNC001920)". The record is from RNAcentral. Lineage: Eukaryota; Viridiplantae; Streptophyta; Magnoliopsida; Apiales; Apiaceae.
UUGGAGAAGCAAAAUGAGUUGGAGGGUGGUGUUAGCAGAUGUGGUGAUGAAUGUUGCAGUGGAGGAGGUCAGGUAGAUCAACAGAACAUGGACAGAAGAUGUCAAUCUGGUGAUAAAAUACAAUAUGAUGCUAUCCUGACUGAUACACCUUCCAAACAACACCAGGAUGCAGGACAUUUGGAAGCACACAAAAUCAUGAAAGAGAGUGUAGAGGCAGUUGAAGAGAGUGAAGAAACGAUGGAUGAAAUACAGAAUCAGGAACAAGCGCACAAAAGUGGAAGAUGCCAAUCUGGUGAUAAAAUACAAUAUGAUGCUAUCCUGACUGAUACACCUUCCAAACAACACCAGGAUGCAGGACAUUUUGAAUCACACAAAAUCAUGAAAGAGAGUGUAGAGGCAGUUGAAGAGAGUGAAGAAACGAUGUAUGAAAUACCGAAUCAGGAACAAGCGCACAAAACCACAGAGAAAAUCAUGUGCAAAGAAUCUGCUCCGCAGGUGCAUACGGAAGCUAAAAGAAAAGUUGGAGAUACUACUGCUUCCACUUGCAUGGACAAUAAUACUAUCUCAGAGAAAGUAAUUGGAGCACAGCCACCAGGUGUUAAUGCCCCUAGCAGAUCGCUUAGGAAAAAUAAGUCGGUCCAUAUCGAAAAAGGUAGUACACGCUGCAAGCCUUCGAAAGUUGCAACGCCUCCUACAAUAUUGUAAGUAAUUGUUAUACUAGUCUUUUGGAGACUGUAGGAAGAUAUGCAGGUCUUGUUAAACUUGAAGUAUUGUAGGUUCAGAUAGUAGUAAGUUUGAUGUUGUAUAUAAUUGUUAUUCAACUGUUCUCUUUUGCAGCACAAAGUUACCAGCUCUUAAAGAGAAGCGCAAACGGUUAGCUUGGAAAGUGGAAGAGGAGGAGAUGCUGAAGGUACUGUCUCUAGAUUAAGUGUUUGUCUGUUAUUGAACUACCAUGUAAUUACCGUGACUGUAUAAUUAGAUGAUGUCCCACUGUACUCAUGAAAUUUCUUGAAUAUUGUUGCUGCUUAAUAUCUUUGAGUAAUAUGGGAAGCCUCCUACCAGGACUAGCUACCUAUGUUGCCUGCACUCAGAUAUGGAGUGUUGGAUACAACACAUAUCCAAGGCGAAACACUCUUACUCUGGAAUAUAUGAAAAUUGGUGAUACGGAACCUGACCUGAUUUUGGAUAAGAUAUCUUAGUAAGAUUAAACAAAAAUGUAAAAAGGAAUCUGAGAAUUAGAAAUAAUCUUUUCUUAAACUACCAAGGAGGCUUCUCAUAUUUCUUUUUCUCCUUUUCUUUUUCCUUUUACUUCCGCAUUUUCUUCUGCAUCCUCAGUUCAUCUCUUAUGUGGUCUGUAAGUUGGUCAAAGUGUCCAACGUUCAGUUGAAGGAUCUAGCAUGACUAAGUGUUCUGUGCAGGGGUCUGACACGUGUACAACAAAUGAGUCCCAGUAACAUAGGUAAAAGUUACAGUUUCUUUACCUAGGUAAAAGGUACAGUUUCUUUACCUUUGAUGGUUUUGAUAAAUUACAAGCAGAGAUCAUUUUAAUAGCAGAUAUAUCUCCUCUGGUUCGCAGAAAUUCUGCAUACUAAAGCUGAUUUUUGUCUUGCUUACUAUUAAUUUUAGCGUCUCCAGUAAGAAAAUAAGUAACAUGCAAUUCUUUCUAUAACAGUGGGAAAAUAGAAGAGACUAACUUGAUUCAUGAAAGCACACACUAGAAAAACCCAUAAAUAUAUAAGUCAAAAUAUUGUGGUACAUGAGCAAUCGUGAAUCUUCAAGUAGAAUUAAAGUUUCAGCCUCUCCGUUACUAUCUAAGUUGAACUAGAAUAUCACUAUAUGCUAAUAGAUUUGCUGCAGCUUGUUAAUUGUUUGGCCUAAAAUACAAUAUGAUACUAUCCUGACUGAUACACCUUCCAAACAACACCAGGAUACACGACAUUUCGAAGCACACAAAAUCAUGAAAGAGAGUGUAGAGGCAGUUGAAGAGAGUGAAGAAACGAUGGAUGAAAUACAGAAUCAGGAACAAGCGCACAAAACCACAGAAAAAAUCAUGUGCAA